AGAUUGAACGCUGGCGGCAGGCCUAACACAUGCAAGUCGAGCGGUAGAGAGGUGCUUGCACCUCUUGAGAGCGGCGGACGGGUGAGUAAAGCCUAGGAAUCUGCCUGGUAGUGGGGGAUAACGCUCGGAAACGGACGCUAAUACCGCAUACGUCCUACGGGAGAAAGCGAGGGGACCUUCGGGCCUUGCGCUAUCAGAUGAGCCUAGGUCGGAUUAGC
Molecule: ribosomal RNA, 218 nt
Filed under: uncultured soil bacterium
Lineage: Bacteria
Description: partial 16S ribosomal RNA
Rfam family: Bacterial small subunit ribosomal RNA
Source: RNAcentral